UUCCUAGAGGUCCAGUGGUUAGGACUCCACAGUUUCACUGCGGAGGGCCCAGGUUCGAUCCCUGGGUGGGGAA
This 73-nucleotide transfer RNA is filed under the name Bos taurus (domestic cattle). It matches the Rfam family "tRNA". From Rfam's summary of the family: Transfer RNA (tRNA) molecules are approximately 80 nucleotides in length. Lineage: Eukaryota; Metazoa; Chordata; Mammalia; Artiodactyla; Bovidae. RNAcentral also lists the same sequence under 3 other names. The record is from Rfam by way of RNAcentral.